RNAcentral lists this unclassified non-coding RNA (358 nucleotides) under soil metagenome. RNAcentral's name for it is "partial contains 5.8S ribosomal RNA, internal transcribed spacer 2, and large subunit ribosomal RNA". The stretch from base 1 to 119 matches the Rfam family "5.8S ribosomal RNA", at positions 35 to 154 of the family's 154-position model. The record is from RNAcentral.
GAUGAAGAACGUAGCAAAGUGCGAUAACUAGUGUGAAUUGCAUAUUCAGUGAAUCAUCGAGUCUUUGAACGCAACUUGCGCUCAAUGGUAUUCCAUUGAGCACGCCUGUUUCAGUAUCAAAAACACCCCACAUUCAUAAUUUUGUUGUGAAUGGAAAUGAGAGUUUCGGCUUUAUUGCUGAAUUCUUUAAAAUUAUUAGGCCUGAACUAUUGUUCUUUCUGCCUGAACAUUUUUUUAAUAUAAAGGAAUGCUCUAGUAAAAAGACUAUCUCUGGGGCCUCCCAAAUAAAUCAUUCUUAAAUUUGAUCUGAAAUCAGGCGGGAUUACCCGCUGAACUUAAGCAUAUCAAUAGCGGAGGA